AAUGUCUGGGAAACUGCCCGAUGGAGGGGGAUAACUACUGGAAACGGUAGCUAAUACCGCAUAACGUCGCAAGACCAAAGUGGGGGACCUUCGGGCCUCACACCAUCGGAUGUGCCCAGAUGGGAUUAGCUAGUAGGUGGGGUAACGGCUCACCUAGGCGACGAUCCCUAGCUGGUCUGAGAGGAUGACCAGCCACACUGGAACUGAGACACGGUCCAGACUCCUACGGGAGGCAGCAGUGGGGAAUAUUGCACAAUGGGCGCAAGCCUGAUGCAGCCAUGCCGCGUGUAUGAAGAAGGCCUUCGGGUUGUAAAGUACUUUCAGCGGGGAGGAAGGCGAUGUGGUUAAUAACCGCGUCGAUUGACGUUACCCGCAGAAGAAGCACCGGCUAACUCCGUGCCAGCAGCCGCGGUAAUACGGAGGGUGCAAGCGUUAAUCGGAAUUACUGGGCGUAAAGCGCACGCAGGCGGUCUGUCAAGUCGGAUGUGAAAUCCCCGGGCUUAACCUGGGAACUGCAUUCGAAACUGGCAGGCUAGAGUCUUGUAGAGGGGGGUAGAAUUCCAGGUGUAGCGGUGAAAUGCGUAGAGAUCU
RNAcentral lists this ribosomal RNA (591 nucleotides) under Kluyvera intermedia. RNAcentral's name for it is "bacterial SSU rRNA". It matches the Rfam family "Bacterial small subunit ribosomal RNA", at positions 112 to 699 of the family's 1533-position model. Lineage: Bacteria; Pseudomonadati; Pseudomonadota; Gammaproteobacteria; Enterobacterales; Enterobacteriaceae. The record is from RNAcentral.